This is a long non-coding RNA of Peromyscus leucopus (white-footed mouse), 612 nucleotides long. RefSeq lists it as uncharacterized. The record is from RefSeq and is a predicted model, not a curated record. NCBI's taxonomy places the organism in Eukaryota, Metazoa, Chordata, Mammalia, Rodentia, Cricetidae. The transcript has 2 exons.
AGUUUCCUUCCUGGUGACGCUAGGCCAAAGUGCAACUCCGAUGCGCUGCCGCUCUCCCUCCUGGGUCCCUGGAAGGAUUUGGAUGACAAGCUGUCCUUUCUGAACGGUACAGGGAUCCCAGGAGGCUGUGAGGUCAGCCUGGAUUUGGUCACUGAGAACUGGACCACAGCCUGGUGGGGGUUCCAAGGAGCCUGCUGGCUGUUUGUCAAGACACUGGAGUCGGAGCCAAAGAUGUGCGGCCUGAUGUCUCCAUCACAGAUGCCAAGACUCCCUUCCUCCUGCUCAGCCACACAUCUGGAGACGGCAAGCAAAGCAGGACUCUACCUGGAAGCUGAUCUUACAGGCUAUGCCUGGCUCAAAAAGUGGCACUCUCUAGGCCAGCACUGGGGUCUACAAGCUCGACGCGCCGCCCCUCCCCCCCCCCACCUGCUGGAGCCUGAUUGUAACGAACCAUUUCCUCAGUCUCCUGCUCCAUAGGGCCUAUGGCUUCCCUUCCUCCCAGCUGUGGUUCUUAAGGAUUCUGUGUCAGAAGCCAAGGCCCUGCUCCUCUCCUGUAUUCCAACCUUCUCAGUUCUAACAGCUUUAACGUCUACCAACAUGAACAUAAAUUCA